AGAGUUUGAUCCUGGCUCAGAGCGAACGCUGGCGGCAUGCUUAACACAUGCAAGUCGCACGGCCGGCAACGGCAGUGGCGGACGGGUGAGUAACGCGUAGGAAUCUGUCUCUGGGUGGGGGAUAACUGCGGGAAACUGCAGCUAAUACCGCAUGAAGCCUGAGGGCCAAAGGCGCGAGUCGCCUGGAGAGGAGCCUGCGU
Molecule: ribosomal RNA, 200 nt
Filed under: uncultured bacterium
Lineage: Bacteria
Description: partial 16S ribosomal RNA
Rfam family: Bacterial small subunit ribosomal RNA
Source: RNAcentral